Molecule: ribosomal RNA, 253 nt
Filed under: uncultured bacterium
Lineage: Bacteria
Description: partial 16S ribosomal RNA
Rfam family: Bacterial small subunit ribosomal RNA
Source: RNAcentral
UACGGAGGGUGCAAGCGUUAUCCGGAUUUACUGGGGUUAAAGGGUGCGUAGGUGGAUAAUUAAGUCAGUGGUGAAAUCUUCAGGCUUAACCUGGAAACUGCCAUUGAUACUAUUUAUCUUGAAUACUUUGGAGGUAAGCGGAAUAUGUCAUGUAGCGGUGAAAUGCUUAGAUAUGACAUAGAACACCAAUUGCGAAGGCAGCUUACUACACAGUAAUUGACACUGAGGCACGAAAGCGUGGGGAUCAAACAGG